GGUCAAGUGACUAAGUGCAUGUGGUGGAUGCCUUGGCGAUCACAGGCGAUGAAGGACGUUGUAGCGUGCGAAAAGCCACGGGGAGCUCGCAAACAAGCUUUGAUCCGUGGAUGUCCGAAUGGGGAAACCCACCCGCAAGGGUAUCCCUGGCUGAAUACAUAGGCCAGGAGAGGCGAACCGAGCGAACUGAAACAUCUAAGUAGCUCGAGGAACAGAAAUCAACCGAGAUUCCCUGAGUAGUGGCGAGCGAAAGGGGAGCAGCCGGCAAGAGUUAGCGUUCUGGUUAGUGGAAUGGCCUGGAAAGGCCAGCCGUAGUGGGUGAUAGCCCCGUACGCGAAAACCAGGAUGUGGGACUAAGCUUGCGACAAGUAGGGCGGGGCACGUGAAACCCUGUCUGAACAUGGGGGACCAUCCUCCAAGGCUAAAUACUCGUGAUCGACCGAUAGUGAACUAGUACCGUGAGGGAAAGGCGAAAAGAACCCCGGGAGGGAGUGAAAUAGAUCCUGAAACCGCAUGCAUACAAACAGUGGGAGCCUCGCAAGGGGUGACUGCGUACCUUUUGUAUAAUGGGUCAGCGACUUACGUUCAGUAGCGAGCUUAACCGAAUAGGGGAGGCGUAGCGAAAGCGAGUCUGAUAAGGGCGACUUAGUUGCUGGGCGUAGACCCGAAACCAGAUGAUCUAUCCAUGGCCAGGAUGAAGGUGGGGUAACACCCACUGGAGGUCCGAACCCACUAGUGUUGAAAAACUAGGGGAUGAGCUGUGGAUAGGGGUGAAAGGCUAAACAAAUCUGGAGAUAGCUGGUUCUCCCCGAAAACUAUUUAGGUAGUGCCUCGUAUGGACACUUCCGGGGGUAGAGCACUGUAAUGGUUGGGGGGGUCGUUUAGAUCUACCCCGCCAUAGCAAACUCCGAAUACCGGAAAGUGAUGUACGGGAGACAGACGGUGGGUGCUAACGUUCAUCGUCAAGAGGGAAACAACCCAGACCGCCAGCUAAGGUCCCCAAUGAUUGGCUAAGUGGAAAACGAGGUGGGAAGGCAUAGACAGCUAGGAGGUUGGCUUAGAAGCAGCCAUCCUUUAAAGAAAGCGUAAUAGCUCACUAGUCGAGUCGUCCUGCGCGGAAGAUGUAACGGGGCUCAAGCCAAUAACCGAAGCUGCGGAUGCACAGCAAUGUGCGUGGUAGGGGAGCGUUCUGUAGGUCUGUGAAGGUGUCUCGUAAGGGAUGCUGGAGAUAUCAGAAGUGCGAAUGCUGACAUGAGUAGCGAUAAAGCGUGUGAAAAGCACGCUCGCCGAAAGCCCCAGGUUUCGUGCGCAACGUUCAUCGGCGCAGGGUGAGUCGGCCCCUAAGGCGAGGCCGAAAGGCGUAGUCGAUGGGAAACGGGUCAAAAUUCCCGUACCGAUCACGGAUGCGAUGGGGGGACGGAGAAGGUUAGCUCAGCCGGGUGUUGGACGUCCCGGUUUAAGCGUGUAGGCGUGCUGCAUAGGCAAAUCCGUGCGGCUUAGCCAAGGCGUGAUGACGAGGAGCCAUUGGCUCUGAAGUGAGUGAUACCCUGCUUCCAGGAAAAGCCUCUAAGCUUCAGUCCGUGAUUGACCGUACCGCAAACCGACACAGGUGGGCAGGAUGAAAAUUCUAAGGCGCUUGAGAGAACCCAGGAGAAGGAACUCGGCAAAUUGACACCGUAACUUCGGGAGAAGGUGUGCCCCGGUAGUGUGUAGUCCCUCGCGGGCGAAGCACGAUGGGGUCGCAGAGAAUAGGUGGCUGCGACUGUUUAACAAAAACACAGCACUCUGCAAAGUCGAAAGACGACGUAUAGGGUGUGACGCCUGCCCGGUGCCGGAAGGUUAAGUGAUGGGGUGCAAGCUCUUGAUCGAAGCCCCGGUAAACGGCGGCCGUAACUAUAACGGUCCUAAGGUAGCGAAAUUCCUUGUCGGGUAAGUUCCGACCUGCACGAAUGGCGUAACGAUGGCCACACUGUCUCCUCUUGGGACUCAGCGAAGUUGAAGUGUUUGUGAAGAUGCAAUCUCCCCGCGGCUAGACGGAAAGACCCCAUGAACCUUUACUGUAGCUUUGCAUUGGACUUUGACGGGACUUGUGUAGGAUAGGUGGGAGGCUGUGAGACCGGGUCGCUAGAUUCGGUGGAGCCGACCUUGAAAUACCACCCUGGUGUCGUUGAGGUUCUAACCUGGCCCCCUGAAUCGGGGGUGGGGACCGUGCAUGGCAGGCAGUUUGACUGGGGCGGUCUCCUCCUAAAGGGUAACGGAGGAGUACGAAGGUCUUCUAGGUACGGUCGGACAUCGUACUGAUAGUGCAAUGGCAAAAGAAGGCUUGACUGCGAGACCCACAAGUCGAGCAGGUGCGAAAGCAGGUCAUAGUGAUCCGGUGGUUCUGUAUGGAAGGGCCAUCGCUCAACGGAUAAAAGGUACUCUGGGGAUAACAGGCUGAUUCCGCCCAAGAGUUCAUAUCGACGGCGGAGUUUGGCACCUCGAUGUCGGCUCAUCACAUCCUGGGGCUGUAGCCGGUCCCAAGGGUAUGGCUGUUCGCCAUUUAAAGUGGUACGUGAGCUGGGUUCAAAACGUCGUGAGACAGUUUGGUCCCUAUCUGCCGUGGGCGCUGGAUAUUUGAGAGGGCCUGCUCCUAGUACGAGAGGACCGGAGUGGACGUAUCCCUGGUGGACCGGUUGUGACGCCAGUCGCAUCGCCGGGUAGCUAAAUACGGAAGAGAUAAACGCUGAAAGCAUCUAAGCGUGAAACUCGCCUCAAGAUGAGAUAUCCCGGGGACUCGAUCCCCCUGAAGGGUCGUUGUAGACCACAACGUUGAUAGGCUGGGUGUGGAAGCGCAGUAAUGCGUUGAGCUGACCAGUACUAAUUGCCCGUGCGGCUUGACCCU
RNAcentral lists this ribosomal RNA (2884 nucleotides) under Rhodocyclaceae bacterium. RNAcentral describes it as "23S ribosomal RNA". It matches the Rfam family "Bacterial large subunit ribosomal RNA". The record is from RNAcentral. Lineage: Bacteria; Pseudomonadati; Pseudomonadota; Betaproteobacteria; Rhodocyclales; Rhodocyclaceae.